Molecule: transfer RNA, 73 nt
Filed under: Camelus bactrianus (Bactrian camel)
Lineage: Eukaryota; Metazoa; Chordata; Mammalia; Artiodactyla; Camelidae
Also listed under: 2 other names
Rfam family: tRNA
About the family: Transfer RNA (tRNA) molecules are approximately 80 nucleotides in length. Their secondary structure includes four short double-helical elements and three loops (D, anti-codon, and T loops).
Source: Rfam by way of RNAcentral
GAGGGUACAGCUCAAGUGGUAGAGCACAUGCUUAGCACGCAUGAGGUCCUGGGUUCAAUCCCCAGUACCUCCU